This 497-nucleotide ribosomal RNA is filed under the name uncultured bacterium. Its description in RNAcentral is "partial 16S ribosomal RNA". It matches the Rfam family "Bacterial small subunit ribosomal RNA", at positions 28 to 507 of the family's 1533-position model. The record is from RNAcentral.
GAUGAACGCUGGCGGCGUGCCUAAUACAUGCAAGUCGAGCGAACAGACGAGGAGCUUGCUCCUCUGACGUUAGCGGCGGACGGGUGAGUAACACGUGGAUAACCUACCUAUAAGACUGGGAUAACUUCGGGAAACCGGAGCUAAUACCGGAUAAUAUAUUGAACCGCAUGGUUCAAUAGUGAAAGACGGUUUUGCUGUCACUUAUAGAUGGAUCCGCGCCGCAUUAGCUAGUUGGUAAGGUAACGGCUUACCAAGGCAACGAUUCGUAGCCGACCUGAGAGGGUGAUCAGCCACACUGGAACUGAGACACGGUCCAGACUCCUACGGGAGGCAGCAGUAGGGAAUCUUCCGCAAUGGGCGAAAGCCUGACGGAGCAACGCCGCGUGAGUGAUGAAGGUCUUCGGAUCGUAAAACUCUGUUAUUAGGGAAGAACAAAUGUGUAAGUAACUAUGCACGUCUUGACGGUACCUAAUCAGAAAGCCACGGCUAACUACGUG